UUGGCCCAACCAUCAUUAAUGGACCAGUUAAUCUUCUUUCCGCUUUGGAGACGAACGGAGUUCACUUCCGGCCAUUAUGUCGUCGUCGCCGAUUCAUCCCGGUUAUUGAUUUGUGUCAUUAUACCAGUUGGCCAGUCCUAGAGCUGAUGCUACCCCUAAAUUACACAAACCCAACUCUGUUUAUCAUCUUCGUUUUCUUCAUCUUUUCAUAAAAUCUCUUCCUCUCUCAUCUCAUGGGUGUCGGUUUCACGGAUUGGUGGAGAAAUAGCAGCUGUUGAUUGAAACUAAAUAGGUAGGGUUAUGAUUCACUGAAAGAUUAGGAGGUUUGUGAUGAGAAUGAGAGGAUGAAAUUAGGGUUUAGAGAGUACACGAGAAACCAUCCACACACGCAUCCUGCAACAACACCUACAUUCAAUCACAGUAAACUUGAAUCACUGGAAGCUUGUAGGCUUUACGUCACAAACUUGAUGCACAGUUACUUCUUUAGAAUUUUCCCAAGUUUUUGAAGAAGCUGAUAACUCUAUGAAGGUGAUUAUUAGCACUUGUUUUGUUCUGAAGCAAACAUAUCUCAUGCAUUCACAUUUUGUAAGAAUGUCAUGAUUACUUAACUUUUUAAAAGUACAGCUAUAGUCCCCAA
Long non-coding RNA from Helianthus annuus (common sunflower), 637 nucleotides. RefSeq lists it as uncharacterized. NCBI's taxonomy places the organism in Eukaryota, Viridiplantae, Streptophyta, Magnoliopsida, Asterales, Asteraceae. The transcript has 2 exons. The record is from RefSeq and is a predicted model, not a curated record.